CUGAAAGAACAACAGGGAUUGCCCCAGUAACGGCGAGUGAAGCGGCAACAGCUCAAAUUUGAAAUCUGCCCCCCAGGGCCCGAGUUGUAAUUUGCAGAGGAUGCUUUUGGCGCGGUGCCUUCCGAGUUCCCUGGAACGGGACGCCACAGAGGGUGAGAGCCCCGUCUGGUCGGACGCCAAGCCAGUGUAAAGCUCCUUCGACGAGUCGAGUAGUUUGGGAAUGCUGCUCUAAAUGGGAGGUAUAUGUCUUCUAAAGCUAAAUACCGGCCAGAGACCGAUAGCGCACAAGUAGAGUGAUCGAAAGAUGAAAAGCACUUUGAAAAGAGGGUUAAACAGUACGUGAAAUUGUUGAAAGGGAAGCGCUUGUGACCAGACUUGGGCCCGGUGAAUCAUCCAGCGUUCUCGCUGGUGCACUUCGCCGGGCUCAGGCCAGCAUCAGUUCGCCGCGGGGGACAAAAGCUUCGGGAACGUGGCUCCCUCGGGAGUGUUAUAGCCCGCUGCAUAAUACCCUGCGGUGGACUGAGGUUCGCGCUCCGCAAGGAUGCUGGCGUAAUGGUCAUCAGCGACCCGUCUUGAAACACGGACCAAGGAGUCGUCUUCGUAUGCGAGUGUUCGGGUGCCAAACCCCUACGCGUAAUGAAAGUGAACGCAGGUGAGAGCUUCGGCGCAUCAUCGACCGAUCCUGAUGUUCUCGGAUGGAUUUGAGUAAGAGCAUACGGGGCCGGACCCGAAAGAAGGUGAACUAUGCCUGUAUAGGGUGAAGCCAGAGGAAACUCUGGUGGAGGCUCGCAGCGGUUCUGACGUGCAAAUCGAUCGUCAAAUAUGGGCAUGGGGGCGAAAGACUAAUCGAACCUUCUAGUAGCUGGUUUCCGCCGAAUUUUCCCUCAGGAAACC
RNAcentral lists this ribosomal RNA (894 nucleotides) under Tolypocladium sp. RNAcentral's name for it is "partial large subunit ribosomal RNA". It matches the Rfam family "Eukaryotic large subunit ribosomal RNA", at positions 54 to 982 of the family's 3401-position model. The record is from RNAcentral. Lineage: Eukaryota; Fungi; Ascomycota; Sordariomycetes; Hypocreales; Ophiocordycipitaceae.